This 1135-nucleotide long non-coding RNA is filed under the name Felis catus (domestic cat). Its description in RNAcentral is "lncRNA (ENSFCAG00000050877.1)". The record is from RNAcentral. Lineage: Eukaryota; Metazoa; Chordata; Mammalia; Carnivora; Felidae.
AGAUUUUUGCAGUUUUUGGCUUUUAGAAUAUACUUUUUUCCGGGUCCGUAACAUAUCUGUAAGCACUCAGAAAGCUUCUGGUCCUGAGCCCUGUGUACUCAGGGGAUGAAUCCGCUCUCCUCAAGGACAACAGGGAAAUCAACCCACAAGCCACGGAAGAACAACCCGGUUUUAUGUACCAUGGAGCUCAGGUUCCAGUCUUACCCCCACACUGCUGCUCACUGUUCCCAGCAAUCGCUGGCCACUGUCCCAAGACAUCUGAGCCCUGGGCACCAACCUGUCACCUCCCGGAUCUCUGGGUCCAGGACGGACGGUGCUCCGCAGGGAAGCAGAAUCCCGCCAAGCAGGGUGCCGGUAGCCCUCGGCAGAUGUGAAGGGUUGUCAGCUUCGGGAGUCCCCUAAGGGAAUCAAGACAGGAGGCCUGCAGGGAGCUGGAGACCACACUGGACCGAGAGAAGACGAAAGGGUGGCUGCCCGUGGCCAGAAGAACGGGAGGAAACGGAACGAAGGGUCACCCACACUUGGUCUACGCUUUGCUGAGACAUGAUUGACGUGUGCCUCGUUAUUUUUUCUAAUUGUUUUUUAAUGUUUUUUUUAUUUUUUUUAAUUUAUUAAAAAAAAAUUUUUUUUUACGUUUAUUUAUUUUUGAGACAGAGAGAGAGCAUGAACAGGGGAGGGUCAGAGAGAGAGGGAGACACAGAAUCGGAAACAGGCUCCAGGCUCUGAGCCAUCAGCACAGAGCCCGAUGCGGGGCUUGAACUCACGGACUGCGAGAUCAUGACCUGAGCUGAAGUCGGUCGCCCAACCGACUGAGCCACCCAGGCACCCCUAAUGUUUUUAUUUUUGACACAGAGAGAGAGGCAGAGUGCAAGCGGGGGAGGGGCAGAGAGAGAGGGAGACACAGAAUCGGAAGCGGGCUCCAGGCUCCGAGCUGCGGAUGCUGGGCUCGAACUCAUGAGCUGUGAGAUCAUGACCUGAGCCGAAGUCUGACGCUCAACCGCCUGAGCCACCCAGGCACCCCGCCUCAUUAUUUUUGGUGGAGACAAGAAUCCACCUACCUAGGGACGCUGAGGGCACAGGUGCUCUUUCCCCGUGUCCCUUCCAGCUAGGACGAGAGCACGUGACUGGGGUUCAG